UUCUAAAUACAGAGGUGUCAGUUGGCUAAAAAUUUUAAUAUAUAACAUAGCGUAUUUGUUGAGUACCAAAAAAAGCAUUGAGAACCUUGAGUCGAUAAAAAAUUUUGGUUAAAUUGAUAGAAAUGAUUAAGUACAGUACGGAAUAAAGCGACUAUAUAGAGCCUUAAUCAGCGAAUGAUAAAGCGAUAACAGGACCUGGGAGUAAGCGAACCGAUAUACGAUAUCAGAAAUUUUUAAAAAUUAUAUGUGUGUACAUCAGGCCUAGAAACAAGAAAUGGCAGAGCAAAUGAAUCGUUCCCUGAAUGGUUACAUCUGUUUCCUCGUUGCGUAGCUUGUUUUUAUAUUGCUUUUUCUGAGCUAUAUAAUUCUUUUUGACCAUGAAUGCGAUGAAUAUGAAGUGCAGUUAAAAGCAAAAAAAGUUGUACAAAAAUUUGAUCAAUUAUUAUCACCUAACAGACAGCGGUGUUGACGUCAUGGACCUGGCCAUCCGAAAAAUUCACUUUGAUGCACCUCAGAUCGAUAAGCAAAUAAAUGCGUACCUCGCAUAUUGCAUGUUAACAGGAAUUGUACUUUUUAUGUAUAUUUUUAUUACGAAGGAAUUUGCGCUUGAAGCAUUUUUUGCAGCGUUUAUAUCAUGCGUGGGAUGUUUCGUAUUGAUGGCUCAAUACCGGAUGCUUGUGAACAUGAACAAGACAUUGCCAGGGUGCAAUAUUACACGCGAAAGAAGAAUAGCCGAAUGGCUGUUGGCAUGUCUGGUUCUUCAAAUGUGUGUAUCGACAAUGCUGAUGUCAGGAAUUGAUUUAAAAGAUGACCCAUACAAGGAGAAGAACUAGCCUAGCCAAUAGAAAGAGGUGUGAAAAAAAAUAAACCUGCAACAAAGGCUUAUAGUUUUGGUGCUGUUUAAAAGACGAGGCAAACAGAGGGCGGUUAUAGAGCUUAGAUAGGCAGAGGGGGCAGAACAAAUGAAAAGAUAGUUCAAAAAAAAAGGUUUAGAUGGAUUGUUUUGUGUGUGAGAAAUCUAUGUAGAGAGGAGGCCGAGUGUACUGAUAUUCAGAAGAUACACAAAGGUGCUAAAGAGUAUGGGAGAAAAAGGUGUUUCGAAAUCAACCGACUUGCAGCGUCUAGGUGAAGAGGUUUGGUCGAAGGUUGAUAAGAUAAAUGCAGACCUUUUCAGCCUUACCUAUGGCGCGUUUGUUUGUCAGAUGUUGAAGGAUUUGGACAGUGUGUCUGAGCUCAAUACGCAGCUCGAGAAAAUGGGCUAUAACAUUGGUAUUCGCCUUGUCGAUGACUUUUUUGCGAGUUCUAGCAUCUCAAGGUGCCCUUCAUUGAGGGACACAGCUGAAAUCAUUGCUAAGGUGGCAUUUAAAAGCUUCUUGGGCGUUACGGCAAUCGUUUCGUCGUUUGACGAGAAGAAAUCAGAGUUUGUGCUUCAAUACGAGGAAAACCCAUUGACCAAUUAUGUGGAGCUUCCCGAAGAAUACAAGGAUAACAUGUGGUAUGCGAACAUCUUAUGCGGCGUAAUCAGGGGAGCUUUAGAAAUGAUACAAAUGGUAGUUGAGUGCUCAUUCAUCAAGGACACAUUGCGCGGGGAUGAAGUGACAGAAAUCCAAGUGAAGCUCAUCGAAAUUAUCAAGGAAGAUCUUCCGAGCGACGAGUGAGCGCACAUUGAGAAAAUAAA
This is an RNA transcript of Schistocerca gregaria, 1678 nucleotides long. It is a transcript of the gene named trafficking protein particle complex subunit 3-like, with no coding region annotated. The record is from RefSeq and is a predicted model, not a curated record. The transcript has 7 exons. NCBI's taxonomy places the organism in Eukaryota, Metazoa, Arthropoda, Insecta, Orthoptera, Acrididae.